CCUGGCUCAGAGUGAACGCUAGCGGCGUGGUUAAGACAUGCAAGUCGAACGAUGAAGCCCAGCUUGCUGGGCGGAUUAGUGGCAUACGGGUGCGUAACACGUGAGCAACCUGCCUUGAAGUGGGGAAUAGCCCGGGGAAACCCGGAUUAAUACCGCAUGUGGUCUCUUUUCGCAUGAAAAGACGACUAAAGUUUGUAAUGACUCUUCAAGAGGGGCUCGCGGCCUAUCAGCUUGUUGGUGAGGUAAAGGCUCACCAAGGCAAAGACGGGUAGCUGGUCUGAGAGGAUGAUCAGCCACACUGGAACUGAGAUACGGUCCAGACACCUACGGGUGGCAGCAGUUUCGAAUCAUUCACAAUGGGGGAAACCCUGAUGGUGCAACGCCGCGUGGAGGAUGACGGCCUUCGGGUUGUAAACUCCUGUCACCAAGGAACAAACGGCAGGUUCAUAGCCUGUCCUGAGUUAACUUGGAGAGGAAGAGGUGGCUAACUCCGUGCCAGCAGCCGCGGUAAUACGGAGACCUCGAGCGUUACUCGGAUUCACUGGGCGUAAAGAGUAUGUAGGCGGUUUGGUAUGUCAGGUGUGAAAGCCCGAAGCUCAACUUCGGAAUUGCGCCUGAAACUACCGGACUUGAGGCCUGGAGAGGGGAGUGGAAUUCCUGGUGUAGCGGUGAAAUGCGUAGAUAUCAGGAGGAACACCAAUGGCGAAGGCAGCUCCCUGGACAGGUUCUGACGCUGAGAUACGAAAGCGUGGGUAGCGAAAGGGAUUAGAUACCCCUGUAGUCCACGCCGUAAACGUUGUACACUAGGUUUCGGAGGGCCUACCCCUUCGGAGCUCAAGCUAACGCGAUAAGUGUACCGCCUGAGGACUACGGCCGCAAGGCUAAAACUCAAAGGAAUUGACGGGGGCCCGCACAAGCGGUGGAGCAUGUUGGCUUAAUUCGAUGCAACGCGAAGAACCUUUACCU
RNAcentral lists this ribosomal RNA (966 nucleotides) under uncultured organism. RNAcentral describes it as "bacterial SSU rRNA". It matches the Rfam family "Bacterial small subunit ribosomal RNA", at positions 18 to 976 of the family's 1533-position model. The record is from RNAcentral.